RNAcentral lists this transfer RNA (74 nucleotides) under Candidatus Moranbacteria bacterium CG_4_9_14_3_um_filter_36_9. Its description in RNAcentral is "tRNA-Ala". It matches the Rfam family "tRNA". From Rfam's summary of the family: Transfer RNA (tRNA) molecules are approximately 80 nucleotides in length. Their secondary structure includes four short double-helical elements and three loops (D, anti-codon, and T loops). RNAcentral also lists the same sequence under 1 other name. Lineage: Bacteria; Candidatus Moraniibacteriota. The record is from RNAcentral.
GGGCCCAUAGUCUAGUGGUAGAACAGAUCCAUGGCAUGGAUCGGGCCGGGGUUCGAUUCCCCGUGGGUCCACCA